This is a small nucleolar RNA of Humulus lupulus (European hop), 107 nucleotides long. The record is from RefSeq and is a predicted model, not a curated record. NCBI's taxonomy places the organism in Eukaryota, Viridiplantae, Streptophyta, Magnoliopsida, Rosales, Cannabaceae.
AUUCCAUGAUGAGGACACUUUCUCAGCAAUUCCUUGAACCUUUACCACGCAUCAUACAAUGAUUCUCCAUCAUUCAGACAUAAAUUAUUGAUCUCACCCCUUAAUUU